Molecule: long non-coding RNA, 2044 nt
Filed under: Ursus maritimus (polar bear)
Lineage: Eukaryota; Metazoa; Chordata; Mammalia; Carnivora; Ursidae
Description: lncRNA (ENSUMAG00000005310.1)
Source: RNAcentral
CUUUCCCCUCCUUCCCUCCCCCCUCCCCCAGGCGGCAGACCCAGCUGGGGCAGGGCUGGCAGGAGCCCCUAAGCCAGAACUGUGAGGCCUGAGACUUACCAAGGCCUGUGUGUCUGUGUGUCUGUGUUUGGGCGGAUCUGGAUGGACAGACAGCUGAAGGGUCUCAGGGACCCCCUCAAGGUCAGGUUGCCAGAUAAAAUACGGGACUCCCAGUUAAACUGGAAUUUCAGAGAAAUAAUAAUGUUUUGCUAUGUCUCAAAUAUUGCAGGGGAUAACUUACCCUCAAAAGUCUUUGUUAUUCACCUGAAAUUCCAGUGGAACUGGGUGUUUUGCAUUUUGAUUGGCUACAUCUAACAACCCUCCUGGGGCAAUGCGGGCAGCAGUGGGGAAGGGGAGAAGAGCAGAUUUUGCUAAGCCCGCACACAGCACUCUCAGGGGAGCAAGGGGGGUCAAAGCCUUCACGGUUCUUCCCCAGGCAUCGGAAUCCAUGUCCCUAAUGGCAGGAAUUGUGGGGAUCACAGGGUGGGGUGAGGCUGCUCUGCUCAACUUCCACGAAAGCAAUUAUCUGAUUAUCCCAUAAUUCAUAUGGGGGAGCAGCAGUUGGCAGACAGGAGAAGGGAACGGGCUGUGAUGUGCUCCAUUUCCUCCCCACAGCCACCUCCGCUGUGUGGCUCCUCCCUCCCUUCGAGAAGCCAGCUGGGGUAGCCGGGCAGGGCGGGGGGCCUGGCUGAGCAGCCCAGAGGGAGGCAAACGCCCCUCCUGCGCCACCCGCCUCACCUGCUUUCCCAGGCUUACCCCAUCCGCCACUCACGUGGCACCCUCCCUCUUCAAAUCCUUCACCUCACGGCUGCGCUGGCGCUGAACUCUCUAGGUCGGCCUAGGAGAAGUCAGUGGAAAGUUACUUGCACAUAAACGGACGGAUGAUGAAACUCCAGGAAACCACAGCUCCUCCCCUGCCAGGGCACCAGGCCAGAGGCCAACCUGCUAGGCUUGGGACCCACUUCUGGCCCCACUACAUGCCCAGAGACCUUGGACGAGUCACUUACCACGUGCCCCGUUUCUUCAUUUGUAGAUGGGAUGCCAGCUGCCCUGCCGCACCCUUCCGGGGCUGCCAGGAGGCAAGAAUGAGCUGGCAGAUGCAAAAUACUGCUUCCUCUGCAACCAUGUCUGACAAGCCCGAUAUGGCUGAGAUUGAGAAAUUCGAUAAGUCGANNNNNNNNNNNNNNNNNNNNNNNNNNNNNNNNNNNNNNNNNNGGGCGAGGGAGGGCGGGGGAGGAGCUGACAAUUUUUAUGAUGAAUGUGGCCUGGAAAGGUUAAUUAAAAGUUGUUUUUGCAGCUAACAAACAGGGCUUUAAUAAUUCAACGAUGAUGGGAUGUUUGGUAUACAUAUUAAUAUGCAAUAUUAUACCAUCUUUUCUGUUAAAAUGUUUUUUAGUGUUCAUAUUUUCACGAUGGGCCGACUUGAUACUUAGUGGAUUUCUAUGAUAUGGGAAGAUACCGUAAACGAAAAGUACGAUAAUCUUACACGAGGCUGUACUGAGUCUGCCUAAUGAGCUCCCUCCAUCUUUUUUCUUUUCUCUUUCCUGUCACAGCGAUUGAACAGGAGAAGCAAGCAGGCGAAUCGUAAUGAGGCGUGCGCCGCCAAUAUGCACUGUACAUUCCACAAGCAUUGCCUUCUUAUUUUACUUCUUUUAGCUGUUUAACUUCGUAAGAUGCAAAGAGGUUGGAUCAAGUUUAAAUGACUGUGCUGCCCCUUUUCACAUCAAAGAAUGGAGAACUACUGACAACGAAGGCGCCUGCCUCUCCCAUCUGUCUGUCUGGCUGGCAGGGAAGGAAAAGAACUUGCAUGUUGGUGAAGGAAGAAGCUGGGUGGGACGACAGUGAAAUCUAGAGUAAAAACCAAGCUGGUCCAAGGUGUCCUGCAGGCUGUAAAAUGCAGUUUAAUCAGAGUGCCAUUUUUUUGUUCAAAUGAUUUUAAUUAUUGGAAUGCACAAUUUUUUUAAUAUGCAAUAAAAAGUUUUAAAACGUCGCUGGUGUGACUGUU